GCGGCGGCUGUUACGGAGUUUCCGGAGAUUACCGAAAGGCUUCGGCCUCCCUUCCUCCGUCUUCGUCCUCCCACGUCUCCUGUGGCGGCUACUACUGCGGCCGCUUGCCGUCGGCUCCUCGGUUCUUUUCGGCGCUGCCCGGCGGGCGCGAGUCGGCGUCUAGUUCCUUCGGCGGAGCCUCUCGCCAGCGUUGGCCACUAGCGGGUCCCUUGCCGAGACAGAGAGACCCCCUUCCCACACGCCUCUGGAGAGUCCUGGCCGGACCGGACGGGCGGGCUGACUGGGCCUUCGCUCAGCUAUCGUGACCGGUGGUCGAGUGGUGGUGGUGACUGUGAGGCGAGACAGGCGGCUGCGCUCCCCCCUCUAGGGGAAGCGGGGCGGCCGGGGGUCCGGUUCGGAUGGCGGAGGGCAUCCCACACCAGCCGCUUGUGCCCGGCGUCGGCGUCGCAGCCCCUCGAGGGGUCAAGCGGGAGCCCGAGCUGGAACAGCCAAUGCCCGGAGGGGACGGAGCCGAGAGCGGCCAAAGCAAGAGGCUGCGGACCGAGGUGGAGGCGGACGGAGGAGGCAUGCAGAAUGAGCCUCUGACUUCCAGUUAUCAUGGAUACCCAGCGAGAGAUAGUCAGGGUAACCAGGAGCCAACAGCCACUCCUGACACAAUGGUCCAGCCAUUCACCACAAUCCCAUUCCCACCUCCCCCACAGAAUGGGAUCCCCACAGAGUAUGGGGUACCCCACACUCAGGACUAUGCAGGCCAGACCAGCGAGCACAAUCUGACAAUCUAUGGAAGUACCCAGGCUCAUGGAGAGCAGAACACGAAUACUGCCACCACACAGAAUGGAUCUCUUACGCAGACAGAAGGAGGGGCACAGACGGAUGGCCAGCAGUCACAGACACAAAGCAAUGAGAAUACUGAGAGCAAGUCUACUCCAAAAAGGCUGCAUGUCUCCAACAUUCCCUUCCGCUUUCGGGAUCCUGACCUCCGGCAGAUGUUUGGGCAAUUUGGCAAAAUCCUUGAUGUAGAGAUAAUCUUCAAUGAACGUGGCUCUAAGGGAUUCGGGUUCGUAACUUUCGAGAAUAGUGCUGAUGCAGACAGGGCCAGGGAGAAAUUACACGGCACCGUGGUAGAGGGCCGUAAAAUCGAGGUUAAUAAUGCCACUGCACGAGUGAUGACUAAUAAGAAGAUGGUAACACCAUAUGCAAAUGGUUGGAAGCUGAGCCCUGUGGUUGGAGCAGUGUAUGGCCCUGAAUUAUAUGCAGGUAGAACUCAAAAUCAGUCCUUCUGUUUCUGCCAAUUGACUGCAGUGGUGUUUGUUUGUGUUCUCAAUCUGUUGUUUCUUUAUAACCUUUGUACAUUUUUUAUUCUUUUUAAAACUAAAUUAGCAUCCAGUUUUCAAGCAGAUGUCUCGCUGGGCAAUGACGCUGCAGUGCCCCUGUCAGGAAGGGGGGGUAUUAACACUUACAUUCCUUUAAUCAUUCCUGGCUUCCCUUACCCAACUGCAGCCACCACAGCAGCCGCAUUCAGGGGAGCCCAUCUGAGGGGUCGAGGACGGACAGUCUAUGGCGCAGUGCGAGCAGUACCUCCAGCAGCCAUCCCAGCUUACCCAGGAAUAGUCUUACAGGAACCAAUCAUUAGCGCUAAAAUACCUCAGGGUGGAUAUGCAGCCUACAGAUAUGCGCAGCCAGCUACCGCGACAGCAGCCACUGCUGCUGCAGCUGCUGCAGCGGCUUACAGCGAUGGGUAUGUAAGGAAGGAGUGGCUUUGGUGUAUCUUGGUAUCAGAAGAGCACUGUUUCAUUUUGACACUGCUUUGCCCAUGUUCCUUAAUACAUCUGCUCUUGAUGAAAAACUUUAUAAUAUUCAAGUGCACCUUAUAGCUAGCAGAUAUAAUGUAACGAGAGAUAGUCAUAAGCAUAUGGUGCUGUGUUAUGACAAAGAGACAGCCAGGUUUUGCAACCAUGUGUCUGCUCUUUGUUACUAGGCAAGGCACUGACCUUUAGGGUCAUUGUCUAUAGGAGCUGGCAAGCGGAAAUGUGUUUGUCAGAAUUGCCUGUUGUCUGGUCAGUGCUUUGAAAAUAAUGGAAUUUGUGAAGGACAGCACUAAAUAGGUCCAACCUUUGCCAUAUUUGUGACUGACUUAAUAAGGAUGUUCAGCUUGUAGCAUUGUGCUUGGUAGUUUUCUUCCUUCAAAGAUUAAUAUGGAUGCAAACAUAGGAAGUUGCUUAUCUAUACUGACUACUAGAUAUCACUGUGAGGGCACAGUAGCUUGUGAACUUAGUAAAUGGACUGAAUUAAAAUCUGCUGGAAAGUAUUUUGGGUGUACCCCCCUUUGUCUACCAGUGGAAUGGCUACAGUGAUUUAAGAACAUAAGCCCUGCUCGCUCAGAUAAAAGGCCUUUCUAGUCCACCAUCCUGUUUCCAUGGUGGCUAACCAAGUACCUGAAUGAGUAGCCCACAAACUGGAUGUGAAUUGCACCCCUUUUGCUCAUGUUUCCCAGCUACCUGUGUCCAGUGGCAUAUUGCCUCUAAUACUAAGGUAAUAUUAAACCAUUCCUAAUGGUCAUUGAUAAUCAUCUCUUUCAUGAAUUUUCCUAAUCCCUUUAUAAUAGUCAUGAUCAUCGCUUCAUCCUUAAAUAUUUUUGAUAAUAAACUUUGUGAGAAGAGAGUAGAUACAAUUGCCAUAAGUAAGACUGGCUUACAAAGUAACAAAGCAUUUACAUAGAUGUACAAUUUAUGUAACAUUAGUUCGGCAUCUUUUACUUCAAACACCUCUCACACUGUUCUGUUUGAUAGUACAGUGGCACCUUUCAGUGCUUUCUUCCUCAUUCCAUCCAAAGAUGGAUUCUCAUUGCCUAUGUGGAAUGAUAGCUUACUGAUGUCAUGAUAUUAAUUGGAAUUUUGUGGAGUUAGGGAUUUCUUAAAGUCGAAAACUAUGAGUCUUUCCAUAAUAAACCCUUUAUGGAGCAAAAUACAGAUCUUAAAACAAUUUUGCAUGGGAAAAUAAAUCCAAAAUGAGCAUUCUUUAAACAUUUUUAAAUAUAUUUAUUCUGGUGCUGAGUAUUUGGGGUUGACACCACCAUAUAUUAACACCAAAAUGCUCUGUUGAAAUAAACUACUCCUUUAGCUUCUUUCCUUUCCUUUGGUGACAAAUAUGCCUUAGAAGCCUUUUGUGAAGUGACAUUUUUUUCUCUCCUCCAUUUCCUUUUCCUCAGUUAUGGCAGGGUGUACACAGCAGACCCUUACCACGCUCUUGCCCCUGCUGCUAGCUAUGGAGUUGGCGCUGUGGCAAGUUUAUAUCGAGGUGGCUACAGCCGAUUCGCCCCUUACUGAAGUGACAUGAGCCCCCUGCGAGUGGGACAGCCCCCCCAGUACAUGAGGCCUGGCUAUUGCAAUAUUUACUAGUAGAGGAACUCUAUAGCAAGAAGAGGAGGAAAACAAAAGAAAAAAAAAACAAGAGAAAUACUUUUUUAUACCUCACUAUGUUCUUUGAAUAUGUAUUUUUCCUUUAAAUUUCUGCCUUUAAUUCUUUUGUUCCAAAGAUUGUGCAUUUUUGUUUUCUUGUUUUUUUCUGGUUGUUGUUUUUUUAACUGUGGUAAACAAAAUGCAUUUCCAUGUCUGUAUAUGCGUAGCUUAUCCUACCAAUCACAAAAGAGUUGAACAGUGCUAAGAAGCACCAUUAGGAACCAACAUCAUGGAACUCAAUCAGGAAUCAGGAACAUGCAGAUAUUUGUUUUACCUGGGUCUGGACCCUGAGGCCUGUGAUCCAUGAGGAACAGUCCCUCUAUCUACAGAGGGCAGUCCUAAUUGGCUGCAGCUGGAACCUGCAGGCUGGUCAGAAACACAAAUGUCCCCCAUUUUAUUUCCAUCUGGUACACGUGGGCUCAGGAGAGUUCCAGAAGCGUCAAGAUUUUACAGUUUUCAAGACAAGAAUCCUCAAAGCUGCCCAAAGACUUUGUCUGUUAAUGGUUUUAGGGGACAAGACUUGAAAUGAAUAUGUGAUCUUACUGCUUCUAUACAUACACCUAACUUUAGUGAUUGUUGUCCACUACCAAGGCUUAACUUCUUAGUUUCUUUCACUUGCUAUGGUCUUCCUCUCUUCCCACCCUCUCCCUCUUUUCUUUGCUGGAGAAACAGCAGAUAUGAGACAAUGACUACAGAACCUGAAGCCAUGUGGAGAGAGUUUUAUCUUUGAUGAUAAGGAGUAUGAUGACAGAGUUGUACACAGCCUGGAGUUAAGAAGAAUGAUGGUGGGGAAAGCUUGCACCAGUGCCACUCUGAGCUGCUCCAAAAUCUGAGUGCCCAAGACCCACUUCUUGUGACACCCUAAGACAAUUAGACUUGCUGCAAGUAUGCCACUGAAACAUUGCAUGAAAAGAAAAAAAUGUGUCUUGGAUCAUGGUCCCAGGAAAGUGAUGGAGGCAAUGGGGAGGACUGCUUGUGUCAUAACACUAUUCUUGAAGUCAUUGUUGUAUAGUUUUGGCAUCCGGGGGAGGCAAAAACGUAUUUCAGAAACACAAUUUAAGAACAGAGGAAACUUCCUUUUGAUAUGCAACACAGAGCCUUUAGUAGUUUGUCACCUCUUUGAAGAGAAAUCUGUAUCAGACUGCUCAGCGUGGGUGCAUACAGCAAGUUGUGAGCUGACUCUGAGCCCAGAGAUUUCUCCCUUAAUUUUUUUUUUUACUUGUACAUGGAAUGCCCUUUAUUUUAUGCAGUGGGUGUCUUGUAAGUUGCUAUAGCAGCAUGUGUGUGACAACAAGCAAACCACUGCUCUCAAAUAUCUGCCGCUAAUUUUGGAAAUCAAAGGGGCAGAAGAGAUCCUGCUUUGCCCUCUUAGCUGUCAUGAUUCUCUCAACACCUCUUGCAGAUUCUCUGCAGCUUUACCUUUAAAACCCUACAUGUUAAAGAAGCACAAUUCCUUUGGCUCCUUGGCCUGCCUAAACUGGUACUGGGUGACCUUUCACCCUGAAAGGGCAGCUAGGAGGUGGACUUGUAGCCGAAGCUGUCUCAUCUGCCAUCAUUCACCUGCCCACCAGUGAUGUCAACAUGGGAACAGAGACAUCCUGAAAUCCUUCCGUGAACAGGGCUAUUGAGGAAGCGCACUGACCCAGCCAUACACAGCUCGCAUCUUUACUCCCACUCCCAUUAAGCCCUUUUCGUACUUGCCAGAGAGCACCAAGGAUGUUAGAGAGGAUGCAUGAAGCAAGAAGGGCAGGGGAGCUCUUCACAAAGCUAGAGACUCUUAUCAAUGUCGAUUCUUUGGAACAAGGUGACACCAAACUGCCAGCCUGUUGGCCACUUUUUGAUUUUGUUGUCUUGUUUUUUCAAGCCAAAGUUUGGUUUGUUGCUGUUAUGACAAUUUCUGUUGUUUUUGUAUAUAAAUACUUUAGUUACUUUGAAAAUGGGGUGAGGGGAGUGGGGUGUCAGGGCUUUCACAAAAUCAAGGAAAUGAAGAAGGAGGGAACUUCUGGUUUGUAUAAUUUUUUGGUGUUAUGUUCAUCAGAAGCCUGUGUGCAUCACAAGGCAGAUGAGGGCAGGGUCAGACUCCUGCCUAGGAAUGAGACACAGCAAAGAUUCCUCCACUGAGCCACCAACUAUUUGCAAAGAGCCUUCUGCUAGCAUUACAGAAAAGAGCAGCUUGAGUAGCUCUACCACAGUUUUGGGGCCAACUGGCUCCCCAGCUGAAAUAAUGAAUAGUCUGGAUACUGGUGCAUGUUUUGAGCAGUGUGUCUGCUCCAGUAAUGGAGCUGAGUGCCACCCCGUGCUUCAGGGUUGUGACUGAGCCAUCUUGGUGCUCAUCAAAGCUACAGUGCCAGCCCUGCAUGGUGACCUUAGCCAAGUCAUUUUGCUUGGUUAUUUGUUUUAUCUCUAAAAUGGAAGACCAAGGUACCUCUCCAUUGUGAAACAAAGUGAGAUCCAUGGUGAAAAACACUGUUGUUAAAGAUUCAUUCUCACCUUUCCAUUUUUCCAAAGCCUAAAAAUGUCCAAACAAACCAACUUUGUUGCAAAUUAACUUUUUAGCAAGGUACUGUUUACCUUUUGAUUCUAGACAGAAGUGCAUACAAAGUUAAGGCUUUGAAAAACUUCAUACAUUCUCUUCCUGUUACAGAUAUCUGAUAGAUUAGGAGUGGGGGACACUUUGGAUUUCAAGAAUUGAAACCAAAUUUCAGUGAUAGGUCUUUUGCUGUGUCCCACACCUAAAGGGAGAAUUUGCAGGUAGCCUAGGAAAGAAUAUUGCUUAUUGGCUUCCAGCAUACUAGGAUCGGAGGGGUCCUUCGCACAGGAUUGGGUUGGAGAGGAUUUAAGAGUGUGUUACUGGUUUGCACUGGUUGUAAAAUAGGAAAAUGAAAACCCUAGCAGACAUAGUGAAGAGCCAGUAUAGUCUGAGCAGCCCAGCCCUCUCUGCCUACUCCCUAUCCACCCAGUCUUCUUUUGCUGUUGCUUUUAUUGACAAUGUAAUGACACUAAACCCUGAGUUCAUGGAGCAAACUGUCUUCUGGUAGUCAGAGUGAAUCUGGUCUUUCCAAUGUAUUUUGUGGGUGUUUUCUUCUCUCCCCCAACCCCCUGAUUGCAUCUAAUUAAACCCAAGACUUGCAUCUUUCCUGCCUCCUGCCCUGGGAAGCGAACUGCAGUAGGAUGUCAACAUUCAGAGCUGGCUGCCAGAAAUAACGGUGGGGAGAGGACACACCAGACUUAGCAUAAUCCCCCACUGUAACUUAGUCUGAGUGAAUAGUUGGGAAGACUUCUAGAUAAGUUGAACCUAAGCCCUGCCAGUUGACAAAGACUGGAAAGUGGGUAGAAAGCCUGCUCCUCAGCAGUUGCAAUUUUUCCUGCCAACUUUUUUUUUCCCUAAAGCCGUCCACUGGAGAAUUAAUUUGGUGAGAAAUCUGCAUCAUGCCACCUAGUUAGUGGUUUCUUUUUUAAAAGAUGGAAUAAAAUUGGAAGCUUUUUCUUUCUUUCUUUCUUUUUUCUUCUUCUUUUCUCUCUUUCAGGGGUGGAACAAUAAAGGGCAUUUGUUGCUGCUUUGAAAAGCAACCAUCAAGGAAUCUUGCCGAUGUAUUCAAAAUAGUGAAUAGUUGCAGUUCACUUUGCCUGGAGUCUAAUAAGUGGUUAAGUUAAUCCUUCUGGAGAUUUAAUUCGGGCUUUAAAUUUGUUUUGUAAAUAGCUGGGGCAAAACCCUGGCACAAUGACAAAUGUAAGGCAUGACUGCAGGGCAGAACCAAGCUGAGAGUUUAUACCAACUGCUCAAGAUGAAUUAGUAACACUUGGUGUUGCUCAAGACAAGGCCUAAAAUGCCCCAGGCUGACUUUCCUGUCUUGCAGUAUCUCCUGCACCACUCCCAGCCAGGUACCCUUGGGACAUAGGAUGCAUUGUAGUUUGAUGCUCUCCUCUCCUCUGGAUCAUUUCUCAGGAUGCCUAAGCUGCUUGAGCAGAGUCCCAUUUCCCUGCUGACUCUGGAAAAGUAGUAUCUGCAUCCCAGGACUUUGUGGCAGUCUCUAAUGUCCCUCCUGCCCUCCCGUCCCACCCUCCCCCUGUUUAAGUAUCAUAUUGUACAGUAGCUUUCAAACCAUACAGUAUUCAUUGGGUUACUCUUAUUAUUAUCAAGUAGCUGGAAUUGUGAAGGUCGGAGUAGUUAGAUCUUUAGCUUUUCUUCCUUUUUUUUUGUAUUACUAUCCAUGUGUAUAAAUUAUUGAUCAUGUUGCUGGCUUUUAUAAACUCUAAGCAAGGGAGGAGCCCUUCCUCACCCUUUGCAAAUGGUAAUGAAGCACUGUUUUUAAAUAAAAGAAAGAAACACCA
RNA transcript from Varanus komodoensis (Komodo dragon), 7790 nucleotides. It is a transcript of the gene named RNA binding fox-1 homolog 2, with no coding region annotated. Lineage: Eukaryota; Metazoa; Chordata; Lepidosauria; Squamata; Varanidae. The transcript is spliced from 12 exons. The record is from RefSeq and is a predicted model, not a curated record.